Molecule: long non-coding RNA, 262 nt
Organism: Thalassophryne amazonica
Lineage: Eukaryota; Metazoa; Chordata; Actinopteri; Batrachoidiformes; Batrachoididae
Exons: 3
Source: RefSeq, a predicted model, not a curated record
GUGGGUUCCCUCCGGGUGCUCCGGCUUCCUCCCACAUCCAAAAACAUGCAGGUUAGGUGGAUUGGAAACUUUAAAUUGUCCUUAGGUGUGCGUGUAGUUGUGAAUGUGUUUGUUUGUCUAUACGUGGCCCUUCGACAGACGGGCGUCCUGUCCAGUGUAUACUCCGCCUCAUGCCCUAUGACUGCUGGGAUAGGCUCCAGCCCCCAUGACCCUUAACUGGACUAAGUGGUUGAAGAUGAGUGAAUCAUUUGGCUUCCUUGAG